CAGGGCUCAUAUCCUUCUGGAGGCAGACAACAUGGUAAACCAGGUUCAUCUUCCUCAGGAGGCAGUCAUCAAGGAAAACCAGGCUUCUCUUCCUCAGGAAGCACUUAUUCUGGGAAACCGAAUUCAUCUUCCUCAGGUGGCAGUCAAGUGAGCUCUGCUGGGAAACACUCCACUCCCCCAAUCCUGCUGCUAUUCAGUGUUUUGAGUGCCUUUGCUCUCUCUGCUGCUACAUCAAAAUGGUCUAUAUGAACUUCUGAAGAGUCGCUUGGCACCCUAGACAUGGA
Long non-coding RNA from Grus americana (Whooping crane), 284 nucleotides. RefSeq lists it as uncharacterized. The transcript is spliced from 5 exons. The record is from RefSeq and is a predicted model, not a curated record. NCBI's taxonomy places the organism in Eukaryota, Metazoa, Chordata, Aves, Gruiformes, Gruidae.